GCUCAGGAUGAACGCUGGCGGCGUGCCUAAUACAUGCAAGUCGAACGAGGUGCCUUUGUAGCAAUACGAGGGUAUCCUAGUGGCGAACGGGUGAGUAACGCGUUGGUGACCUACCCCAAAGUGUGGGAUACCAGUCCGAAAGGACUGCUAAUACCGCAUGUGGUCAUCGGGUUCAGAAACCGAUGUCGAAAGCAGCAAUGCGCUUUGGGAGGGACCUGCGUCCCAUCAGCUAGUUGGUAGGGUAACGGCCUACCAAGGCUACGACGGGUAGGGGACCUGAGAGGGUGACCCCCCACAAUGGAACUGAAAUACGGUCCAUACACCUACGGGUGGCAGCAGUAGGGAAUAUUGCACAAUGGACGAAAGUCUGACGCAGCAACGCCGCGUGCACGAUGAAGGUCUUCGGAUCGUAAAGUGCUUUUCUGGGAGAUGAGAAAGGACAGUAUCCCAGGAAUAAGUCUCGGCUAACUACGUGCCAGCAGCCGCGGUAAAACGUAGGAGGCAAGCGUUAUCCGGAUUCACUGGGCGUAAAGCGUGUGCAGGCGGUUCGGUAAGUUGGGCGUGAAAUCUCCCGGCUUAACUGGGAGAGGUCGUUCAAUACUACCGGACUAGAGAGCAGUAGAGGAAGAUGGAAUUCCCGGUGUAGUGGUGAAAUGCGUAGAUAUCGGGAGGAACACCAGUGGCGAAGGCGAUCUUCUGGACUGUUUCUGACGCUCAUACACGAAAGCUAGGGUAGUAAACGGGAUUAGAGACCCCGGUAAUCCUAGCUGUAAACGAUGUGAACUUGGCGUCGGUAGCUUAAACACUAUCGGUGCCGAAGCAAACGCGAUAAGUUCACCGCCUGGGGACUACGAUCGCAAGAUUAAACUCAAAU
This 874-nucleotide ribosomal RNA is filed under the name uncultured bacterium. RNAcentral's name for it is "bacterial SSU rRNA". It matches the Rfam family "Bacterial small subunit ribosomal RNA", at positions 22 to 906 of the family's 1533-position model. The record is from RNAcentral.